Molecule: long non-coding RNA, 878 nt
Filed under: Callithrix jacchus (white-tufted-ear marmoset)
Lineage: Eukaryota; Metazoa; Chordata; Mammalia; Primates; Cebidae
Description: lncRNA (ENSCJAG00000082815.1)
Source: RNAcentral
GUCACCACACCCAGUAGGUGUUCCCACAGCUCAGCAGGGCAUGCUGUGGUAAUGUUGUCCUUACGUCAUUCCAUCCAGUGCCUCCAAUCAGCUGUGACUUAGGGUACUGUCCUCCCAGGACCUUGUUGAGGCCUUAGAAUCCUUUUAGUUCCAUCCUUCUCCAUGUCUGUAUUCUAGAAUCUUGAGUAUUUUGGGGCAUUCAGUUGCCUUCCCUGUAAAAUGUUGUUCUCCAUAUUUUCACAAAGAGGAAUUCAAACAUUUUCUCAAGCUUACCCUAAGAAGCUUCCCCUAACCCCAGAUCUGGGGUGUCUUCUCUGUUCUUCUCUUAUAGCUCACUGUAAAUACAGAGAGUCCAUAUUGUACCCACCUGGCUGUCAUCUCUCUAGUCUUAUACACCCCUCCUCCUCCCAGCCGCUUCACUUCUCAGAGAACCACCCAUCUGCUUUCUAUUACUACAGGCUAUACAUUAAAGUGAAGAUCUUCAUAGGCUGCAUUUGAAAACAAUGCAGUGAUCUCCUUGAUGGUUUGAUCAACAGUAUAAUAAGCAUAUUUGCUGCUUGGUAGCAGAGUCUGAGAGACACAGAAGCUGAUGGUCUAGUUGUCUCAGAGCUUCUAGUCCAAGGACAGGGGCACAAUGUCCACCUUCUCUCUGCAUUCAUCUCUACUGCAUGGGAGGUUGAAUCUGUGGCAUGCAUGUGGAUUCAUCUGUCAACACUUCAAACAGAACCCUCUGUGAGCUGGUAGGCUUGCCUAGUGGCCAUCAACGUUCUCAAUGGGGACCCAGGGACGUCUAGGAUGUGCCAAUGCCUUCUACAUUAGCAAAGCAAUGUCACCUACAGGGUUGCUUUAGUGUUGUGUAUCUUAUUAAAGCAAAAAAC